UAAAGACUAUGUACAUGGUUAAUAUAUUUAACAAAAAUAAACAAGCGCAUACGCGAGCAAGGCCUUUCUAGUAACAUAUUAAACAAGUUAUAUCGCUUUAGUAGACACGAGGUGAUCCGAGGUCAUAAAUAUGUAAAAUAAAAAUUCCACCGUUUGAUGUAAUCAUGCUAAUUAAAUAGGAGUCUACUGAAAAAAAUCAACCAUUCGUUACGUUCCUCAUUGAAUCGGUCAACCUUAAUUUAACCUCAUUUUUUACCUAAUACGCGGUUGUCCGGCAUCGUGUGAAACCCUAUUUUUCUUCGUUUUCGAACCUAAAGCUCUUAUAUAUGAGAUUUAGAAACCCCAUGAAUUUUUUUUGUUAAAUUGACCCUCCGGUGGUUAUGCUCCCCUUAGGAGUGUCUAAAUGUAAUUAUGGUUGACCGCAUUUAUCGGGGUCCAAACAUUACCGAAAGUUUGUGUUUUUUAAACCUUAGUCGUAUUUCACUAUUCCGAUCAUAUCCUAUUUUAUAAGAUUUUUGAAAAUUUUGAUUCCUCUGUAUAAUUGUUUCACAUCAUGGUCCUCU
RNAcentral lists this long non-coding RNA (563 nucleotides) under Fragaria vesca (wild strawberry). Its description in RNAcentral is "long non-coding RNA (FVES_LNC004045)". Lineage: Eukaryota; Viridiplantae; Streptophyta; Magnoliopsida; Rosales; Rosaceae. The record is from RNAcentral.